RNAcentral lists this long non-coding RNA (796 nucleotides) under Neodiprion lecontei (redheaded pine sawfly). RNAcentral's name for it is "uncharacterized LOC124294724". Lineage: Eukaryota; Metazoa; Arthropoda; Insecta; Hymenoptera; Diprionidae. The record is from RNAcentral.
UUGAAGGUGGUUGCGGGUGAUCGAGGCGAACGAGGAUUUGUGCGCGGUAUAACCCGAGGUGGUUAGCUGUGGUCGUUGGAGGUGGUUGUCGGUGGUUGGAGAUGGUCGAAGGUGGUUAGAGGUGGUUGUGGGUGAUUGUGCGGGACAAGGAGGAAGACAAGGAGGAGAAGGACGAGGAUUUAUGCAUGGUAUAACCCGAGGUGGUCCGCGGCGGUCGCUGGAGGUGGUCGGAGGCGGUAAGAAGUCUUUGCGGCUGAUCGAGGGCGACGAGAAGGACGGGGGUCGUCAAAGGUGAUUGAAGGUAGUGCGAUGGUGGUGAGGUGUUGGGGUGGUGUAGUCAUGGGUUGUUGGGGUGUUGGGGUAGUGGAGUGAUGGGGUGGUGAUGGGGGCAAACCUACCCCCUACCACCUACCCUCUACCCUGCCCUACCCUACCCUACCCUACUCCUACUACUACUACUCUUACUUCUACUGCUCCUACUUCUACGUUAACUCCAACUCCUACUCCAACUCCCACUACUCCAACUUCUUCAUCUACUACUACUCCUACUCUAACUCCUACUCCUACUCCUACUUCUGAUCCUACUCCUACUCCUACUCCUGAUCCCACUCCUAUUCCUACUCCUAAUUCUGAAUAUUGAUGUUAUGAAAUAUGUAGACUGCAUGUCAAAUUGAAUCCCAUAUCGAAACGAACAAUUCUGUUAUUGUCAUAUUAUAGCCGAUUAUUGUAAAUAAUCUAGUACGUUUCCUAGAAAAUUAUAAAAUUUAUAGUAUGCAUCAUGUAUUGAUAAUAAAUA